GACGAACGCUGGCGGCGUGCUUAACACAUGCAAGUCGAGCGGUAAGGCCCUUUCGGGGGUACACGAGCGGCGAACGGGUGAGUAACACGUGGGUGACCUGCCCUCAGCUCUGGGAUAAGCCUGGGAAACCGGGUCUAAUACCGGAUAUGACUCCAUGACGCAUGUUGUGGGGUGGAAAGCCUUGUGCGGCUGAGGAUGGGCCCGCGGCCUAUCAGCUUGUUAGUGGGGUGAUGGCCUACCAAGGCGACGACGGGUAGCCGGCCUGAGAGGGCGACCGGCCACACUGGGACUGAGACACGGCCCAGACUCCUACGGGAGGCAGCAGUGGGGAAUCUUGCGCAAUGGGCGAAAGCCUGACGCAGCGACGCCGCGUGAGGGAUGACGGCCUGGU
This 391-nucleotide ribosomal RNA is filed under the name uncultured bacterium. Its description in RNAcentral is "bacterial SSU rRNA". It matches the Rfam family "Bacterial small subunit ribosomal RNA", at positions 28 to 420 of the family's 1533-position model. The record is from RNAcentral.